UAAUCGCGCAAACAAAGCAAGCGGGGAACAAAGAAUCUACACAACAGAUUUUGUAUUACAGAAAGGCUUCUUCUAUUCAAGCGGUUGCGGAAUUUCUUUUUGUAUUCAUUUUCGAAUUUCAUUCAUGUCGAUUUCUCUGUGUUUGUUAUGACGGGACAUGAGCAUGGAGGCGAGCAAAUUAUGAUUAAGAUUCAAUUUUUUCAUUACUAGUGCUUUGUUGUAGAGAAAUUAUGUAUUGUUACUGAUUUGGUUUGGUUGAAGUCAAAAAUCCCCUUCACAACUCUUUUCGUUGUUCUAUAUCUCUCAUCUUAUAGCUUUUCUCCUGAUAAAAAUCAAAUAAAUAUAUAUGUAAUCUGAAUAAUCUUUUCAUAUAUGUAAGUUGAACCAGUGUAUGUUGAAAACAACUAAAACUAAUGAAAGUACGAAUUCGUAUCCAAUCAAUCCGAAUAAAAUAAAGAAUACAUUUAAACUACUUGGGAGCUCUUCUCGGCUUCGAACAUGGAUUCAUUUAAACGGCGGUAGAUAAAAUGCGAAACCCAAGCCACCAACAUAAGAAGCGCGGUAGCAGCCCCACCGACCAUCACAAGAUUAAGAACCAGGAGCGGUCGUGUGAUUUUUGAGCUUGGUGACAUUGCUUUAGCAUUAGACGGAGAACCUGACGGCGAGGAUGGAGAAGGAGAGGGGCUUGGACUGACUACUGGAGCUUCUAUUUCGAGGGCAUUGAUCUUGAUUUUAAUCUUUUGGCCGGCUUUGCAGUGACCAGGUUCACCGCAAAUAACAUAGUAGGUGCCGGGUAUAUCAAAAGUUAAGGCGGUAAAGGUACCGUAAUGAGAUAGGGGAAGUGAUGGAAUACAAUAGUCAUAAUCUGCUUGAGUGACUAUCAUCACAAAAUCAUAUUCAUGUUUGUAAUUAAAUAUGAACUCGUCGCCCACAUAGAAUUUUUUCGAUGAGGCCCACUUGUUGUAAUCAACCGCGCCACUGUCAGUCCACCCUUCCAAAUCGCCGCCAACCGUAUAAACGGUAGCGGAGCAAGCACCAAAGAAAAUCAUCAUAAUGAUGAAACUCACGGCAACAGUGUUUCUUAGAUCCAUGACUAAAACAGUAAACAAUAAACAAGCAAUUAGGAGAGCAGAAAGCAAAGAGAAUGAAUGAAUGAAAUUUAGAUGAAAGGCAAUAAUGCGUGAGCAUGCAUAUAUAUAGAUAGAUAGAUAAAUAUAGUUAGUGUCCCAAACGGAAAAUGUUUCCCAAAUCCAGUUGGAAAACGGUUUAUAAAAUCAGACAAGUACUAGGAAUUCCAUUUAGGAAUAAUAUUGCCCAAGCUUAAUUAAUAAUCGAAUUCCAAUUUUCUGGCGUUUUGUCGGCUGCUUUUGCUUCCAACUUCUGCUUGCUUCCAUGUAUGAUGAAACAUUUUAUUUUAUUAUAAAAGGAUUUUUUUAUAUAGGCGCCUCAGUUUUGAAUUUUCUGGAUCAAACAUCCAUACCUUUUAGUGAUUUGAUUAAACUUUUUUUUAUCAUAAUUUUGGUACUAUAUGCACAUUAUAUCGUAACAAAUUUCCUAUAAUCUAGCCUUUUGAUUACACUCUCCUUCGUUAGAGAUAAUCGUAAAAAAAAAAAAAAAAAAAAAAGAAGGCUGGUUAGAUUCAAUUUAUUUUCACAAUAAUGCUACAAUUUAGCAAUAAUUAUCUACGAUUUAAGAUAUUUUCUUUCCAAAAUAGUUUAAAAUAUUUUUAAAUCCCACAAAAUCAAAUAUACUGAAAUAGUACGUUAAGAGAAAAUAGGAUUGGGAAUAAUAUAAAUGUACCAAUACACAAUGUGUACACAAUAAAAAUAAUGUACCAAUAUUAACAAUAUGUAUCAAAUCAAAUGUACCAAAAUUGCAAAUAAACGUACCAAUUAAUGACUUGUGUAAAUUCAAGCUUACCCAUAGAUAAUAUAUACGUAAUGUAUUGUACCUAAUAAUAAUUCGUUAACAACUAUACUUAAAAAAAACAGCAAAAAAAAUAUAAUUUCACAAAAAAAUUGAAAAAAUUACACGGAGCUUUUAUGUUGAUAACCAACUAUUUGAAAAUAAAAAAACCAUUUGGAAAAAGAAGUAAUAUUAAGGGGGGUGUAUUCAAUUGAGAAUGAGAGACAUUUUAAUGGAUUUAUAAAUCCAUGGAUUUUUAUGGAGUUUAAUUGAUUUGUAGAGAUUCCAUAUAAAAUUUUGAUUCAAUUCCCUCGAAAUCUCAUGGGAAUAGGUGAGAUUUGUGGAUACUUAAAAUACACUACGAAAUCUCUCAAAUUCCCUCUAAUUCCCCAACUUUCUCAAAUUCUUUAAAAUCAAUUUCUAAUUGAAUACACCUGGAAUGUUAUAAACUUCUUUAAAAUCUUAAUUGAAUACACCUGGAUUUUUAAGGAUUUUAAUAAACUAUUUUAAAAUUCUAAUUGAAUACACCUAGAAUUUCAGAGAAUCACUUAAAAUCCUUAUUGAAUACCCCUAGAUUCAUUAAAAGAAUUAAAAUCCCUUAAAAUCCCAAUUGAAUACACCCCCCUAAAUGUUUGCAUAACAAAAAAAUAAAAAUAAAAUUUGUGAUCGAAAAAACAUAUCUGGAAGAAGAGAAAAUAUAGUUUAAUUACUAAUAUCUCCAUUAAAUAAGGAAAAGUGCAUCAUACAGAUAAAAUGAUAAAUUCAAAAUUUAUUUUAAUUUUAAAAAUAUAAUAAUGACAUGUAAUUUAGCUUGAGGUAGCUAUUGGUCAAAGCACUUUAAUCAAAUUUUAAAAAGGCACAAAUAUUUAAUCUAAAUGAUAUAGAAAAACUGUAGGGGAUUCUAAUUUUCUCUAGGGUAAAUGACAAAAAACGACCUCAACUAUUGGUCUCACGACACUAUCAUACCUCAAUUUUUAAAAUUGACAAUGUCAUACCUCAUCUUUAGAAUUUGGUCCAAUGUUAUACCUUCCGUUACUUGGCCGUGAAUUUUUCAGUUAAAUGUUGAUGUGGCUUGAUUCGGGGCCCAUUUUCUAUUAAAAAAUUAAUAAAAUAUUAUUAAAAACUAAAAAAAAUUAUUUAAUAUAUUUGAAAAUAUUAAAAUAAUAAAGAAAAGUUAUAUAAAAAAUAAAAAACCCCUCUCUCUCUCUCAACAAAAAAAAAAUUUGAAAACCCAUCAACCCGUAACAACGCCCCCCCUGAAGAAGAAGAAGAAGGAAAAAAAAAAACCCAACCCCCUGCAACCCAUAAAGAAGAAGGAGGAAGAAGAAGACCCAAAAAGAAGAAGGAGGAAGAAGAAGAAGAAAAAAAAAACCCAAAUCAAACCCAGUUCGUUCCCCCCCCACCCACCCCUCCCAAAAAAAAACCCAACCCCCUUGCAACCCAGAAAGAAGAAGGAGGAGGAAGAGGAAGAAGAAGAAGAGAAAAAAAAAAACCCCAACCCCCUGCAAGCCAGAAAGAAUAAGGAGGAAGAAAAAGAAGAAGAAGAAAGAAAAAUAAAAAAACCCAAACCAACCCACACCCCCCCCCCUAAACAAAACAAACCCAACCCCCUGCAACCCAGAAAUAAGGAGGAAAAAAAAAAAACCCAAACCAAACCCAGUUCGACCCCCCCAACACACACACACAAACCCAACCCCCUGCCAACCCCAAAUCCACCACUCCCAUCCAUUCUCCACAUCCUCUUCCGCACCCAUCCUCCACCUUCUUUGUGCACCCAUCUUCCCAUCAUGAACCCGGCGAUGGCGAUGUAGACAGGAUCAAGGUUUCUUUUUAAUUUUUUUUUUUCUGGGUUGCAGGUGGUGGGUGCAAAUGGUUUAGGGAAGACGGGAGUGGGGAAGAAAGGGGUGGGUUGCAGGAAAUGGGGUCAGAUGGGUUUUUUUUUUCUUUCUGGGUUGCAGGUUGGGGGAAGAAGAUGAAGAUUGGGGGGGGGGGGGGAGGGGGAGGGACGAACUGAGGGUUUUUUUUUUUAUAUAACUUUUCUUUAUUUUUUUUAGUUUUUAAUAAUUUUUUAAUAGAAAAUGGGCCCCAAAUCAAGCCACGUCAGCAUUUAAUUGAAAAAUUCACGGCCAAGUAAUGGAAGGUAUAACAUUGGACCAAAUUCUAAAGAUGAGGUAUGCCAUUGUCAAUUUAAAAAAAAUGAGGUAUGAUAGUGUCGUGAGACCAAUAGUUGAGGUAAUUUUUUGUAAUUUACCCUUUUCUCUAUUAUAAAUCACAGUGAAGAAGUGAGAAUCAAACUCGGGCCUCUGGAUUGCAUGAUGCAAAUGUGGUGCAUAAAAAGAUUUCAAUUUCUCAUUACCAUAUGAGAAAAAGAAGAGGAAUUUAUCCAAUCUGUUUGUACUAAUUGUAGCAAAAGACUUAAUAACUUGUUCAAAUUUAUUAGACAAUAAUUUUUGUUGAAUAAACAAUAUUAUCUACAUUAAGGGAGUAGAGAAGUGGGCUAAGCCUCACAAUGGCUAAUAAUAAUGUGGUUCAAAUUCACUACCACAUUAAGGGAGUAGAGAAGUUGGGCCUGGCAAAGGCUUAACGUUCUUUUUAGGGUAAAAGACUGUUUACUACCCUCAUGUUUCGUGGUUUUCAACAUUUAGUACAUCAUGUUUUUUUCGUCUCAGAGUCAUACCUAAAGUGUAAAUUUUGGGACAGUCUCAUCAUCCGUUAGUCAAACUGUUAAGUUUUUCGUUAACUGUGACGUGGCGCACUGAGUGGGCGCCACGUGUCAUCCACGUUUUUUUUUUCUUUUUUCUUUCUUUUCUUUUCUUCUUCUUCCUCCGACUGCAACUUUCUGUUUUUUUUUUUUUUUUUUUUUUUUUUUUGCUUCUUCCUUUUCCUUCUUCUUCCUCCGAAAUCUGGGGAAUGUUUUUUUUAUUUUUUUUUCUUCCUUCCCCUUCUUCCUUCUUCCUUCCCCUUCUUCCUUCUUCUUCCUUCUCCUUCUUCUUCUUCUUCUUCUUCCUCCGAAAUCUGGGGAAGUUUGUUUUUUUUUUUUCUUUCUUUCUUCUUCUUCCUCAUUCUUCUUCUUCUUCUUCCUAAAAAAAAAAAAAAAACACUUUUAUCUUUUCUUCCUCUUCUUCUUCUUCUUCUUUCUCUUUCCUCCUUCCUUCUUCUUCUUCUUCCUCCGAAUCUGCCCAGAUUCAAUUUUUUUUUUCUUCCUCCUUCUUCUCCUUCUUCCUUCCCCUUCUUCGUUCUUCUUCUUCUUCCUCCGAAUUUGGGGGAAGUUGAAAGUGUUUUUUUUUUUUUUUUUUUUUUUGAGGAAGAAGAUGAAGAAGAAGAAGAAAGAAAAAAAAAAAAAAAAACAUUCCCCAAAUUUCGGAGGAAGAAGAAGGAAGAAGAAGGAAGAAGGGGAAGAAAGGGAAAGGAAGGAGGAAGGAAGGAAGAAGCAAAAAAAAAAAAAAAAAAAAAGCAGAAAGUUGCAGUCGGAGGAAGAAGAAGAAAAGAAAAGAAAGAAAAAAGAAAAAAAAAAAACGUGUAUGACACGUGGCGCCCACUCAGUGCGCCACGUCACAGUUAACGAAAAACUUAACAGUUUGACUAACGGAUGUAUGAGACUGUCCCAAAAUUUACACUUUAGGUAUGACUCUGAGACGAAAAAAAUUGAUGUACUAAAUGUUGAAAACCACGAAACAUUAGGGUAGUAAACAGUCUUUUACCCUUCUUUUUAACUCAUACUUGCUAUUUUGGGUAUUUAUUUUAGUAGAAAUAAACUGUGGUUGACCCAAAAUUCAAAAGUACUUUUGAUGUGGCAGGUUUGGGUAGUGAGCUCACCAUCGUUCGCAUAAACAAAACAAAAGUUUACUCAGCCAAGUUUCUCAAAGAAAAAUGCUUCAAGAUCUGUAAAUUCGAGAGGAUCAAAGCUCAAGUAUCCAAGAUAGGGCUCAUCUUUUGACGAACGUCACAUCUCCAACUUGGAUGAAAAAGAAUGAACCGAGUUAGGAAAUCUUAAUUCUAGAAGAAGAAAACUUCUAUAAGAGGCAACAGAAGGAUUAGAGAAAGGGACACCGAUCAACUCAAGCCAAAAAGACUUCUAAAAGCUCUACAACUUACUUUUCAAUUAUUCCUUUUUUAUCUCAAACAUUCAUUUGUAUCUAUACCUCUACUACUUCCCUUUUGUAAGAUCGAUUCCCUUUGUAGAACCCCUUCAAUAGCACAUUGCCCGCAUAGCACGAACUUGCCCGACAAGCUUGGAAACUUGCCUGAAUAUGUUGAAAACUUGCCCGAUGGCUUGUAUUUGUCAUUUAUUUUCAUGUUAUUGUCAUUAUGCUUUGUUCAUUACACAUGUUAUAAAUGUUUCUUGAACAUUUGCUAGUAUAUUCCUUUGUUUAUGUAUUGUGCUUUAUUUUUUUGCAUCUUCCCUUUACCCAAAGAUUGCUGAUUGGUUCAAAGUCUCCUUUGAUCAGUUUGUGAUCCUUGUUCUUUGGUAUUUAACAUGAGAAAAUUAUAAAGUCCUUGUCUUCAAGGCAUAGAAAAGAAGGCCGGUUUCUUGCGGUGCAAGUAAAUGGCUUAUUAACAAUUUAAAACAAAUAACAUAUUGGUCUUGGCCAACUGGCACGCUGGACAAAAUCACUAUUUUUACAAAAGAGCCUAUGAACCUACUCCAGGCUUGACUAUUGGCUAAAGCACCUCGUGCUAACAAGAGUUCACCACUCACUUUCAGAGGGAGCUUGUGUGAGAAUCCUUCAUCCUUACAGUCUGUAUCCUUAAUUCCAUUUGGUCAACAGUUUAUUUAAUCCAAAGUUCCUAGCCCUUAUUUUUCACUUGCUUGGCAUCAACUAUAAAAACGGAUAUUUAACCGAUUGUAAUAGUCAACCCCCUGUUAUUAUCGACGUCCCAUGACAUUUUAUCCACACCAACAUUAAAAAGCUGUCUGAUUCCCAUUUUCUUCGUACUUGGAAACAAAACAUUGGUUCUUAAUUUCUGUUCUUUCCUAACUUCUUGUAAUUACUCCAAGUCCACACCAAUGGCUCUAUCUAGGCUUCCUCCAAAAGAGAGGCCAGGUCAAAGUUAAGAUAUUGUCCAGUCUUGUCAAGUUGGUGGUGAGAGUAGCUUCGAAAGUCGGGAGAGGGUUGAGCCGCCGUAGAAAGGUGGCGACACAGGUUGUGCAGGGUGCAGCCGGAUAGCGAUCAAAUUAAUCACGUAUAGUUCAUACCAGCAUUGAUGUGUUUAGCCUCAUAAUGUUGGGAUGAGGAUCAGGAGAUGUCCAACAAUUCCCCAUAAUUCAAUUUUGUCAACUAUAAAAAGAUUGGUAUAAUUUUGCAAAGGUGGGAAGACAAAAGGAGAAAUCUUGAAAGAGGAGAAUGGAACUAGUGGAAUUUAUGUGGUUGGUUGGCAUUUUAUAUAGUUGGAGUUUUGGAGUUGCUUCAUUUUCUAAAUUAUCAACCAGACUUAGUUUGGAUUAUAUAAAAAAAAUUAAAACUUUAAUCUUCAUAUCUAACUCUAAAAUAGUCACUUAGUACUAUGGCCUAGUGGUAUUUCUUUUCACUUGUAAGUGAGAGGUCUUAGGUUUGAUUCUCACCAAAGGCAAGUUUGAAUCAUAUUAUUGCUAGCCAUUAUGAGUAUAAGCUAACCCCCUCCCCCUUAGUGUAGAAAAUAUCAUUUGUAAAAAAAUUUAAAAAAAAAAAAAAAAAACUCCAAAACAUAAGGAUUAAUUCAUUUUAUUUUUAACUGUAUGUAGUUGUAUGUGUUUAUAUAUCAUAAUUAACCUCAUACUUGUGAUUUUGGGUAUUUAUUUUAGCAUAUAUGAAUAGUGGUUGGCCCAUGAUUCAAGAGUACUUUAGACAUGGCAUGUUUGGGCGGUAAGCUCACCAACAUUCAUAAAGAAAGCUUACUCAGCCGAGUUUCUCAAAGAAAUGUGCUAUACUGUGGUAUGAUUUGUAAAUUCGGGAGGAUCAAAGCUCGAGUAUCCAAGUGGGAGCUCAUCCUCUGACAAACGUCACAUCACCAACUUGGAUGAAAGAGAAUGAACUGAGUUAGGAAAGCUUAAUUCUGGAAGAAGAAAACUUCUAUAAAAGACAAUAGAAGGAUUAGAGAAAGGGACAUUGAUCAACUCAAGCCACAAAGACUUCUAAAAGCUCUGUAGCCAACAUUUCAAUUAUUCCUUUUGUAUCUCAAACGUUACUUUGUAUCUAUAGCUUUGGUACUUCCCUUUUGUAGUAUCGAUUCCUUUGUAGAACCCCUUCAAUAAUACAUGGUUCGCAACUGCACGAACUUGCCCAACAUGCUUGGAAACUUGCCCGAAUAGGUUGAAAACUUGCUUGAUGGCUUGUAUUUGUCAAUUAGUUUCUUGUUAUUGUCAUUAUGCUUUGUUUAUUACUCAUGUUAUUAAUGUUUCUUAAACAUUUGCUAGUAUAUAUUCCCUUGUUUAUGUACUGUGCUUUAUUUUUCUGCACCUUUCUUUACUCAAAGAUUGCUGAUUGGUUCAAAGUCUCCUUUGAUCAGUUUGUGAUCCUUGUUCUUUGGUAUUUAACACAAUAAAAUUAUAAAGUCCUUGUCUUUAAGGUAUAGAAAAGAACCAAAGUAUAGAUUUAACCCCUCCAGAAUAACAAUACUUUGAGAGAAGGUCAGUUUCUUGUGGCGCAAGCAAAUGGCUUAUUAACAACUUAAAAACAAACAGCUAUUGGUCUUGGCCAGCAGUGGCAUGCCUGGAAAAAAUCACCAUUUUUACAAGAGAGACUACUCAAGAUUGACUAAGACACAUUGUGCUAACAAGAGUUCACCACUCCAUCCAAACCGUCUGUAUCCUUACAUUUGGUCAACUCUUUUUUAAUCCAAAGUUCCAAACCCUUAUUUUUCACUUGCUUGGCAUCAACUGUAACAACGGAUAUUUGACCGAUUGUAAGAGUCAACCAUCUGUUAUCGUCGACGUCCUAUGACAUUUUAUACUCCCACACCAACAUUAAAAAGCUGUCUCAUUCCCAUUUUCUUUGUACUUGGAAACAAAACAUUGGUUCUUAAUUUCUGUUCUUACCUAACUGCUUGUGUUACUCCAGUCCACACCAAUGGCUUUAUCUAGGCCUCCUCCAAAGAGAGGCCAGGUCAAAGUUAAGAUAGUGUCCAGCCUUGUCAAAUUGGCAGUGAGAGUAGCUUCGAAAGUCGGGAGAGGGUUGAGCUGCCGUAGUAAGGUGGCGACACAGGUUGUGCAGCCGGAUAGCCAUCAAAUUAAUCGCGUGUAGUUCAUACGAGCAUUGAUGUCUUUAGCUACGCUGCAUAUGUUAUAGUAGCGUACUGCAGUACUAUUUGUAUUAGUAGAGCACAUGCAUGCUCUAAAAAAUGCAUGAGAAAGGUUGUAAUACGGUGUGCUUUUGGUUUUAUGUAUUGAUCCUACCAUAAGUUCAUAAUAAAAACUUUUUUUUUGUUCUUACUCUUUAUAUUCUUAUGGAGGAUGGAGAGUCCUAUUCUUGUAGACGACGUACUCUUUGUUGUUCGGAUUGGCUUUUAGAGUACAACGGUGUUUCACGAACAUGAAUUUCGAGCUAUCUGUUAUCUGGGUUCCAAAUUCAACCGUGCUUUUUGGAAUGAUCUAAGUAUGCAACAGAUAUAUCUAAUGUAUCUGUUUCAGUUUAUCAAAAUGUGGAUGCAACCUUAACGGGAUGACUCGUUGAAGAAUGUAAAGUCUCACAUCGGAAAUCUUACAAAAUAAAAUACAAUUUAUGCUGACUGGUUCCGCUACUAAUGAAGUGGAGACAUUUCGUAUAAACUCCACACCCUGUUUACUUAAUUUUACCUGAGUUUUUCUUUGUCAUUUAUUCGUUUUAUAUUUUCACAAGAAGUUUCUGCAAUUUUAAGUACAGUUGUAAACUGAGCAAAUAUAUGGGUAACAAGGUUGAUCCAGUCGUGCAAAUUUGAAGCCCUUUUUUAUCCUAGACAGUAUCUAUGACCAUAAAGUUUUAUCCUAGACAGUAUCUAUGACCAAGAACGACAAUUCUUUGCAGUUGAAGCCGAUAAACCGUUCAUUUUAUCAGAAGGGUUAAAAACUCAAAUAUUUUUUUUUGUUAUCAUGAAGUGUGGUGUUGAUAUUAGGGAGCAUCUGUAUGGAAAUAUUGUCUUCAGUGGAGGCUCCACUAUGUUCCCUGGAAUUGCUGAUAGGAUGACCAAAGAGAUUACAGCCUUGGUUCCAAGUAGCACCAACAGAUUUUGUAUUACAGAAAGGCUUCUUGUACUUCUCUGUAUUAUGACGGGACAUUAGCAUGGAGGCGAGCAAAUUAUGAUUAAGAUUCAAUUUUUUCGUUACUAGU
This 10187-nucleotide long non-coding RNA is filed under the name Malus domestica (apple). Its description in RNAcentral is "long non-coding RNA (MDOM_LNC013718)". Lineage: Eukaryota; Viridiplantae; Streptophyta; Magnoliopsida; Rosales; Rosaceae. The record is from RNAcentral.